GCCUGGCUAGCUCAAUCGGCUAGAGCAUUCGACUCUUAAAUAGAAGAUAUCGAAAGGUUGCGGGUUCGAGUCCCGCGUUGGGUU
The sequence is a transfer RNA, 84 nucleotides long. It matches the Rfam family "tRNA". Rfam says of the family: Transfer RNA (tRNA) molecules are approximately 80 nucleotides in length. The record is from Rfam.